UGGGGAAUUUUGCACAAUGGUGGAAACCCUGAUGCAGCGACGCCGCGUGAUUUAGAAGGCCUUCGGGUUGUAAAAAUCUUUUCUAUGGGAAGAAAAUGACAGUACCAUAGGAAUAAGGACUGGAUAAUUACGUGCCAGCAGCCGCGGUAAUAAGUAAGGGGCGAGCGUUGUCCGGAAUUAUUGGGCGUAAAGAGUGCGUAGGCGGCAAAUUAAGUCAGAUGUGAAAACUAAGGGCUCAACCCAUAGAUUGCAUCUGAAACUGAUAUGCUUGAGUCAAGGAGAGGAAAGUGGAAUUCCUAGUGUAGCGGUGGAAUGCGUAGAUAUUAGGAGGAAUACCGGUGGCGAAGGCGACUUUCUGGACUUGAACUGACGCUGAGGCACGAAAGCGUGGGGAGCAAACAGG
This 403-nucleotide ribosomal RNA is filed under the name Verrucomicrobiota bacterium. RNAcentral describes it as "Verrucomicrobia bacterium partial 16S ribosomal RNA". It matches the Rfam family "Bacterial small subunit ribosomal RNA", at positions 355 to 776 of the family's 1533-position model. Lineage: Bacteria; Pseudomonadati; Verrucomicrobiota. The record is from RNAcentral.